Molecule: long non-coding RNA, 3471 nt
Organism: Pan troglodytes (chimpanzee)
Lineage: Eukaryota; Metazoa; Chordata; Mammalia; Primates; Hominidae
Exons: 4
Source: RefSeq, a predicted model, not a curated record
AUGGUGGUUCGGGCGGCGGGAAGAGGCUGCGCUGGGGUCCGGGGUCUCUCGCACUUCGCUUCCCCGCUCCUGGCCCCGAGGAGUGGCCGCCGCGGGGGAUGCUCGAACUCCCUCCUCUGGGAGGCGCAGGAGACGGCCGCGGGGCGCGGGCGGUGCCUGGGCGACUGGGUCCAACUGGGUGCUACAGAGCCUCGAGCUCCGCUGCGAAGCGCCCGGCUGCCUCGCUCGCCGCCCGCACCUCGGUUCCCCACAGGCCUCCCCCGCCUCCGCCUGGGCCUUCGGGGAUUGGCCGCCGGGCCCGACCAAUGGAGGGCCGCCUCCUCCCGCCUCUGCGCCGAGGGGCGGUGCGGCCAAUUGAAGGGCCGCGGGGGCCGCUUUCCCUCCCGCUCCCUCCCCGCGAGGUCCCCGGCCCCCGCCCCAGCCCUCACGCCACCGGGGCCGGCGGCUAGGCGGCCCCGCCCCCGGGCUAGGCAGGGCGCCUGGGGGCUUCCCAGCCACAAGCCAUUCACGUCAACCUCCAGGCAUCCUCCGCGGCGGGCCGGGCCGGGCCGGCGGAGGGGAGCGGAAGCCCACCGGGGCUGGCCCGCCGCUGACCCGCCGCCUCCGCCUGCCUCCUCCCGGGCUCUGGGCCCAGCGCGCCCAGAUGCCGGGCAGGACCCCUCCGCCCGCUGCUGGAACACCAAUAGCAGCCUUGGAGCCUCUGGGCCGGAGGAACGGGGGCCUCCACCGACACCUGCUUCUUCCCUCACCUCGCAGCCUUCCACACCUGUUGAUCUGACCUCUGCCCCGCUGCCGCCAAGGAGUAACCUAAGGCUUUUGGCCUGAUUCGAGCUCACUCCGUCUAAACCUCUAAAUGCGGUGCGAAAAAAUCCUGGGGAAUGUGCCAUGCAAAGCCUGGGCAUUUCAGGUGCUUUUCUGGAUUCUCAUCAACUCCUCUUUACAGGCAUCUUUAUCCGGAAUUCAGCUCGUCCCAAACCCCACGUGGUGUAGCUCUGCUUGUGUUUUUGAAUCCCGGGGCCUCUUUGAAUCAGAAGCCCUUUGUAUAGAGAUAAGUAUCCUUUAGGCCAGAAUCAGCCUCCAUUUUUUUCGCAGUCCCAUUUCCUACCCUUAAUACUUUCUUCUGAUUUUAAAGCCAUUUGAUAGAGAAGGGACAGGGAACAGAACCUUCGCCCCCCGCCUGAGCAGCUGGUAGACUAGAUAUCUUCCAAACAUUAUCUCAUUUACUUCCCUGGAGUUACAAAUAGGUAGAUUUCAUGUCCGUUGAGGGGUGAGAAAGCUGAAACUUUGAGACUUAAGAAUCCUGGCCGAGGUCAGCCUCCUCCGAAGCUUCAUCUCUUGCCACCACUUUCUGGUGCACACCUAGGACAGAUUUCAAUCCCUGAGAUCCCAGGAUGAAACCUAUGUUUGCCAAAUACCAGCUACUGUGCCAGAAGAGAUCAUGGAACCAGGUGUGGAAACCUGCUUGAGAAGAGGAGCCAAAACAUCAUAGUUGAACCGUCCUGGAAUAGAAUGCGUAUGAGAGUUCCAGUUCCUCUGCUUCCUCACCAACAGUUGACUCACCCUGAAUUCUUUCUUGUGUGAAAUCCAAGAGCCCUCUCUUGGGGUUGGAUCAGGACCCUGUUCCUGUAAGAAGUCCACAAUGCCAGAGAAUUAAAGAGAACCACAAAGUUUUUCCAAAACACAUGUGAGCAGCCGAAUAGAAGAGAUGCAUAGGAUGAGGUAUGGGAGAAGGGGAGCAGAACUGCCACGGCCUCUCUGUCACGCCCCACUUCAGGAACCUUCAUGGGUUCAGCUACCUGGAAGCUCCCUGAAAUUGCUCUUGUAAGGUACAUUUGCUCCUUUUUCCCCUCCCUUUGGAGAGUGCUCACCAGUUACUCCAGGUGAUACUAUUAGUACAUCCAUCGUGUGCCACCUUUUCCACCAGAGGCAAGCAUGUGGCGGACUUUUCAAAGGGAUUACCUUAUCCCCCACUAGGCCAAGUACUGGGCCCAAGGAGGCACAUGACCCAAACAAGGUCCACCGGAGUUCUUUAUGAUAAACAGAUAUGGAAGCUGAAAACGAAGUCAAACUGACUUAGACAAAAAGUGGACUUUAGUGGUUCAUGUGACAUACAAGUCAAGGAGAUGUAGCAUUGGGCAUGGCUAGAGUCAAGGACUCAGUCAAAGGCAUGACAAACCAGGGUGUCUCCACGUACCUUUUCUCUUCUGCUAACUCCCUCAGCCCUACCCACCAGGGGAGAAAUUUACCACUGAAAGGUCCAGGUUUACAUCCUAAUCUUCUAAGUGAAAAACUUCCCAAUGGUUCUAACAAAAGUCCCAGAAUUGAGCCUCACUGUCACCUACAUAUUUCCAUGCUAAUCACUGCAGCUACCAGGAGGAAGGCACUGCUGGCAGGCCCGGGUAUGUGCCUAAAGUAGGUGUGGAGGUAAGUUGGCAGCUCGGCCAGCACCACAGGAGCUGAGAGAGGGAAGACGCACAACCCCAAAGGAAAAUGGGGGAAGAGAUGCUGGCGAGGCAAAUAAACAUGAUGCCCACUGCACAAGCUCUUCUCUCUCCAGUCUGUAUUGCAAGGCCGCUCACUUCCAUGGCCCCUUUAGAGUCCCACACUUGAUUUUUUAUCCGUUGUUUUUUAUUUUAUUUUUUUUAUCUCAAGGAGGGUUCCUAAACUUGUAAAAGCUUCAGAUCCCUCAAAAUCUGAAGCUAUCCUACAAGAGAGUCACCCAGAAUAUCUACCUCCCUCUUCUCAAUUUAGGAACCAAGUGUUGUCAGUUGCUCAACUACAUUGCCUUUCGUCCACUCCCAACAGCUUGAAACUGAGGUUCUUAUUGCCACAAAAUGGCAUCCUGCCCCUAGCCUUUUUCUCCUGAUUCAUCUCCAAAGCCUUACAGCAGGGCAGUUCCUUUAAAAAUUAAAAACACUAUUACCAUAUACCUCUAGGAAAUAUACCCAACCUAAUUGAAAGCAGGGUCUGAAAGAAAUGCUUGUAUACCUUUUUCCACCAAGAUGUGGAAGCAACCUGUGUCCAUCAGUGGGUGAAUGAGAAAACUAGAAGUGGUAUAUACAUGCAAUGGAAUAUUAUUUCCUUAAAAAGGAAAAAAUGCUGACAUAUACUGUAACAAAGAUGAACGCUGAGAACAUUAUGCUAACUGAAAUAAACCAGUCACAACAGGAUAAAUACGGUGUGAUUCCAUUCUACUAUACUAUAUGGUAUUCCGAAUACUGCACGAUUCAGCUAGAGGAUGAAGAGACCAGGUAGUGGGGAGUUACCAUUUAAUAGCUAUAGAGCUUCAGUUUUGCAAGAUGAAAAAAGUUCUAUGGAUGGAUGGGUGGUGAUGGUAGCACAACAGUGUGAAUAUACUUAAUGCCACUGAACUGUUCACUGAAAAAUGGUUAAGAUAAUAAUUUUUAUGUGUAUUUCACCGCACUUUUUAAAAAUCUGAUGCCUCAAUAGCUUUUCUAAAUAUGCAUAACU